Paramormyrops kingsleyae is the source of this 539-nucleotide long non-coding RNA. RefSeq lists it as uncharacterized. The record is from RefSeq and is a predicted model, not a curated record. Lineage: Eukaryota; Metazoa; Chordata; Actinopteri; Osteoglossiformes; Mormyridae.
CUGUCGGCUGUAAAUCUGACGCAUGUGUUACUUUCAAAGAUAACCCGCGUCGCUGAAUUUAUGUCUCAGGCAGAAAUUUCGGGAUUUGGUUUAAGUUCAGCCAGCCUCUUUGUCCCAAACUGACCCUCUGACCACAUGAAGUCAUAAAAUUUGAUGUCAUGAAGGGGGAGGGGGUGGGGUGCCACAAGAAAUACAAGCCUUUUUUCAGAAGGUACCCAUGAUUGAUAACACAAAAUUGAGGGGAACCUAAAAUAGACAGAGUGUGCACACCCUCGGGGUGCAGACAUCGUGGUGGACGCAGCUCAGCUGUUGGAUAAACACGCCGUGAUGGACGGUCACCCCCCCCCAGCCAAAACCACCGCAACCUUCGGCUUCUUCUCAGCCAGAUUUUCUCAAGAUCAAGAUUAUAGAGGAUGAUGCCUUAAACAAACGAAAACAGACGAUCCAAGUCAGUGGAACUUUGGAGGACCAACACCUUGCUAAUGAGAGGCCAGAGGAGAAAGCGAAGAAGGUUAUAAAUUAACUGGAGACAUAAUUUA